CCUACGGGGGGCAGCAGUGAGGAAUAUUGGUCAAUGGACGUGAGUCUGAACCAGCCAAGUAGCGUGAAGGAUGACUGCCCUAUGGGUUGUAAACUUCUUUUAUAUGGGAAUAAAACGUUCCACGUGUGGGAUUUUGUAUGUACCAUAUGAAUAAGGAUCGGCUAACUCCGUUCCAGCAGCCGCGGUAAUACGGAGGAUCCGAGCGUUAUCCGGAUUUAUUGGGUUUAAAGGGAGCGUAGGUGGAUUGUUAAGUCAGUUGUGAAAGUUUGCGGCUCAACCGUAAAAUUGCAGUUGAAACUGGCAGUCUUGAGUACAGUAGAGGUGGGCGGAAUUCGUGGUGUAGCGGUGAAAUGCUUAGAUAUCACGAAGAACUCCGAUUGCGAAGGCAGUUCACUGGACUGCAACUGACACUGAGGCUCGAAAGUGUGGGUAUCAAACAGGAUUAGAUACCCGGGUAGUC
This 460-nucleotide ribosomal RNA is filed under the name uncultured bacterium. Its description in RNAcentral is "partial 16S ribosomal RNA". It matches the Rfam family "Bacterial small subunit ribosomal RNA", at positions 338 to 795 of the family's 1533-position model. The record is from RNAcentral.